RNAcentral lists this ribosomal RNA (610 nucleotides) under uncultured bacterium. RNAcentral describes it as "bacterial SSU rRNA". It matches the Rfam family "Bacterial small subunit ribosomal RNA", at positions 110 to 753 of the family's 1533-position model. The record is from RNAcentral.
GGAACGCGUAGGAACGUGUCCUGAGGUGGGGAAUAACCCUGGGAAACUGGGGCUAAUACCGCAUGGGAGCUGAGGCUCAAAGCCGAAAGGCGCCUUGGGAGCGGCCUGCGUCCGAUUAGGUAGUUGGUGGGGUAAUGGCCUACCAAGCCUGCGAUCGGUAGCUGGUCUGAGAGGACGACCAGCCACACUGGGACUGAGACACGGCCCAGACUCCUACGGGAGGCAGCAGUGGGGAAUAUUGGACAAUGGGCGCAAGCCUGAUCCAGCAAUGCCGCGUGUGUGAAGAAGGUCUUCGGAUUGUAAAGCACUUUCGGCGAGGACGAUGAUGACGGUACCCGCAGAAGAAGCUCCGGCUAACUUCGUGCCAGCAGCCGCGGUAAUACGAAGGGGGCUAGCGUUGCUCGGAAUUACUGGGCGUAAAGGGCGCGUAGGCGGCGCUACAAGUCAGGCGUGAAAUUCCUGGGCUUAACCUGGGGGCUGCGCUUGAGACUGUGGUGCUAGAGGAUGGAAGAGGGUCGUGGAAUUCCCAGUGUAGAGGUGAAAUUCGUAGAUAUUGGGAAGAACACCGGUGGCGAAGGCGGCGACCCGGUCCAUUACUGACGCUGAGGCG